RNAcentral lists this ribosomal RNA (301 nucleotides) under uncultured bacterium. RNAcentral's name for it is "partial 16S ribosomal RNA". It matches the Rfam family "Bacterial small subunit ribosomal RNA", at positions 509 to 807 of the family's 1533-position model. The record is from RNAcentral.
CAGUCGCCGCGGUAGGACAGAGGAUGCAAGCGUUAUCCGGAAUGAUUGGGCGUAAAGCGUCUGUAGGUGGCUUUUCAAGUCCGCCGUCAAAUCCCAGGGCUCAACCCUGGACAGGCGGUGGAAACUACCAAGCUGGAGUACGGUAGGGGCAGAGGGAACUUCCGGUGGAGCGGUGAAAUGCGUUGAGAUCGGAGAGAACACCAACGGCGAAAGCACUCUGCUGGGCCGACACUGACACUGAGAGACGAAAGCUAGGGGAGCAAAUGGGAUUAGAUACCCGCGUAGUCCCUGUCUCUUAUAC